UAGGAGUCACCUUUUUGCUAUAGUGGUCUGUUUGGGAACAGACAAUAUAAAUGAGGUUGAUGAAGAUAUGUGAGAAGGCAUGCUGUUGAUGCAGGAGGACUUUGCUGAGUGUGUGCUCCCAGGCUGCAGCUGAUUUCAGUCCCUACAGCACCUUCUCAGCCCAGCGUCCAAGUGCUAAAGCAUGAGGAAUUACUUGUUACUGUGCAGGUGCAGCCUGUGGGCCUGAUUCUGACUUCCAGGAAAUGAUGGGAAGUCACUGGGAUAACCCAUGUCAACAGAGAUCACAAGACUGUGUCAAGUGAACUCCCAUGGUGAGGAACAAAGGUUUGUUUUCAAGGUUGUGGUUUGCACCUGAAGCCACCACCAACAGAGGACCAUUUUUCUCAUCAGCUGGCCUAUUCAUCUAGAAAUGAGGAAACAAACAAUUUUGAAUAU
This is a long non-coding RNA of Oxyura jamaicensis (ruddy duck), 435 nucleotides long. RefSeq lists it as uncharacterized. NCBI's taxonomy places the organism in Eukaryota, Metazoa, Chordata, Aves, Anseriformes, Anatidae. The record is from RefSeq and is a predicted model, not a curated record. The transcript is spliced from 3 exons.